Non-coding RNA from Cinara cedri, 305 nucleotides. The record is from the annotation of a GenBank genome assembly. Lineage: Eukaryota; Metazoa; Arthropoda; Insecta; Hemiptera; Aphididae.
CUCCGCUCAGAAUCAUGUUUCGUUAGCAAUGAUUAAUCGUUGUGUACAGAAAUAAAUGUAAUUCCUCUCUGUAUCCUUUCCUACCCAACUUUUCACACCUACAACAGCGGCCUGCCCGUGGUGCGAAGUAUGUCCAUCUUUUUUUAUUAGUUUAUCGAUUGUUUUUUUUUUUUUACUUAACAGUAAGUUUUGUUUCAAUAAUCAACACAAAGCGUGAUUCAUCUAGUUAUGGUAUAUCGGGGAAUUAAUUUUUAUUGAUUUUAUAUAUUGAUUUUGUUUAGUUCAAAAUGGAUAAAAUUAUGGUU